CAAAUUGAUAGCAUUUCUAAUCCAAAGGUUAUCUUUGUCAGUUAAAUUAUUUCCAUUGAAAAAAAUAACUUGAAAACACAUUUCAAAAAUUCCAACUAAUCUAUUAAAAACAAAUAUUGCUUUGUUAAGAGACUCAAGUUCAGCAAUUGCAUUUAUUGAAGGUAAAUCGCUUAAAGUAUUAUUGAUUAGGAGUGAAUUUUGAUCAAGAAUUGCAACAAAAACAAAUUUAAUGGAUUGUAAUAAUUGAAAACCAGAAUUCCUGAGGAUACAAAGAGAAAUUUCUGGAAUUUCGUCAUAAAAAUAAUCAUGGGAAAAUUUUAAAACUUCAACACAGACAUUAAAAAUAAGCACCUUGUUUUCUUUACGAUUCCAAAGUGCUAUUCUUGAAGCGAUAUCAGUAAUAACACUUGAAAUGUCUUUAACCGACUGAGUAUUGUUGGCAAUAAACUUAAUUAAGUAAAUUAUUAUUUCCAUGUACCAAUCUUUUGAGAAAUCGUCAUCAUUUAGUAAAUACGGAAUAUUU
Molecule: non-coding RNA, 523 nt
Filed under: Cryptosporidium parvum
Lineage: Eukaryota; Apicomplexa; Conoidasida; Eucoccidiorida; Cryptosporidiidae
Source: RNAcentral